Molecule: ribosomal RNA, 62 nt
Filed under: Brevibacillus parabrevis
Lineage: Bacteria; Bacillati; Bacillota; Bacilli; Caryophanales; Paenibacillaceae
Also listed under: 1 other name
Description: partial 23S ribosomal RNA
Source: RNAcentral
GGUGUGGAAGCGCGGUAACGCGUGGAGCUGACGAAUACUAAUCGGUCGAGGACUUAUCCACA